RNAcentral lists this ribosomal RNA (258 nucleotides) under uncultured bacterium. RNAcentral describes it as "partial 16S ribosomal RNA". It matches the Rfam family "Bacterial small subunit ribosomal RNA", at positions 96 to 354 of the family's 1533-position model. The record is from RNAcentral.
UGGCGGACGGGUGAGUAACGCGUGGGCAACCUGCCCCGUGCCGGGGGAUACCGCCUGGAAACAGGCGCUAAUACCGCAUAAGCGCAUACAGCCGCAUGGCAGUAUGCGGAAAGCUCCGGCGGCACGGAAUGGGCCCGCGCCCGAUUAGCCAGUUGGCGGGGUAACGGCCCACCAAAGCGACGAUCGGUAGCCGGCCUGAGAGGGCGGACGGCCACAUUGGGACUGAGACACGGCCCAAACUCCUACGGGAGGCAGCAG